GUAAACGGCGGCCGUAACUAUAACGGUCCUAAGGUAGCGAAAUUCCUUGUCGGGUAAGUUCCGACCCGCACGAAAGGCGUAAUGAUUUGGGCACUGUCUCAACGAGAGACUCGGUGAAAUUUUAGUACCUGUGAAGAUGCAGGUUACCCGCGACAGGACGGAAAGACCCCAUGGAGCUUUACUGCAGUUUGAUAUUGAGUAUCUGUACCACAUGUACAGGAUAGGUAGGAGCCUAGGACCUCGGGACGCCAGUUUCGAGUGAGGCGUUGUUGGGAUACUACCCUUGUGUUAUGGCUACUCUAACCCAGAUAGGUUAUCCCUAUCGGAGACAGUGUCUGACGGGCAGUUUGACUGGGGCGGUCGCCUCCUAAAAGGUAACGGAGGCGCCCAAAGGUUCCCUCAGAAUGGUUGGAAAUCAUUCAUAGAGUGUAAAGGCAUAAGGGAGCUUGACUGCGAGACCUACAAGUCGAGCAGGGUCGAAAGACGGACUUAGUGAUCCGGUGGUUCCGCAUGGAAGGGCCAUCGCUCAACGGAUAAAAGCUACCCUGGGGAUAACAGGCUUAUCUCCCCCAAGAGUUCACAUCGACGGGGAGGUUUGGCACCUCGAUGUCGGCUCGUCGCAUCCUGGGGCUGUAGUCGGUCCCAAGGGUUGGGCUGUUCGCCCAUUAAAGCGGUACGCGAGCUGGGUUCAGAACGUCGUGAGACAGUUCGGUCCCUAUCCGUCGCGGGCGUAGGAAAUUUGAGAGGAUCUGCUCCUAGUACGAGAGGACCAGAGUGGACUUACCGCUGGUGUACCAGUUGUUCUGCCAAGAGCAUCGCUGGGUAGCUAUGUAGGGAAGGGAUAAACGCUGAAAGCAUCUAAGUGUGAAACCCACCUCAAGAUGAGAUUUCCCAUGAUUUUAUAUCAGUAAGAGCCCUGAGAGAUGAUCAG
RNAcentral lists this ribosomal RNA (931 nucleotides) under human gut metagenome. RNAcentral describes it as "bacterial LSU rRNA". It matches the Rfam family "Bacterial large subunit ribosomal RNA", at positions 1923 to 2851 of the family's 2925-position model. The record is from RNAcentral.